This 491-nucleotide ribosomal RNA is filed under the name uncultured bacterium. Its description in RNAcentral is "partial 16S ribosomal RNA". It matches the Rfam family "Bacterial small subunit ribosomal RNA", at positions 29 to 506 of the family's 1533-position model. The record is from RNAcentral.
AGUGAACGCUGGCGGUAGGCCUAACACAUGCAAGUCGAACGGCAGCACAGUAAGAGCUUGCUCUUACGGGUGGCGAGUGGCGGACGGGUGAGGAAUACAUCGGAAUCUACUUUUUCGUGGGGGAUAACGUAGGGAAACUUACGCUAAUACCGCAUACGACCUACGGGUGAAAGCAGGGGAUCUUCGGACCUUGCGCGAUUGAAUGAGCCGAUGUCGGAUUAGCUAGUUGGCGGGGUAAAGGCCCACCAAGGCGACGAUCCGUAGCUGGUCUGAGAGGAUGAUCAGCCACACUGGAACUGAGACACAGUCCAGACUCCGACGGGAGGCAGCAGUGGGGAAUAUUGGACAAUGGGCGCAAGCCUGAUCCAGCCAUACCGCGUGGGUGAAGAAGGCCUUCGGGUUGUAAAGCCCUUUUGUUGGGAAAGAAAAGCAGCAGGUUAAUACCCCGCUGUUCUGACGGUACCCAAAGAAUAAGCACGGGCUAACUUCGU